This 237-nucleotide long non-coding RNA is filed under the name Setaria italica (foxtail millet). RNAcentral's name for it is "long non-coding RNA (SITA_LNC006956)". The record is from RNAcentral. Lineage: Eukaryota; Viridiplantae; Streptophyta; Magnoliopsida; Poales; Poaceae.
ACACUACCGCUCUCAACUACGUCUGCUACACAUAUCGCUGCAAUAGCUGUGUCGCAAUCAUCUGCACCGCCACGUCUGACGUGAUUCUUCUUCUAAGUGAUUACCUUACCCUUCCCCUUGGCCUCUCUCGGCAUACGGGGAGGGCGACGUUGAUCGUUACCACCACCUGCACUGCCACUACCACUGCCACCCUGAACGUCUGCCAUCGUGAUCAAUCCCAAGAAACCCACUGACAGA